This 116-nucleotide ribosomal RNA is filed under the name Escherichia coli. The record is from RNAcentral. Lineage: Bacteria; Pseudomonadati; Pseudomonadota; Gammaproteobacteria; Enterobacterales; Enterobacteriaceae. RNAcentral also lists the same sequence under 3 other names.
CCUGGCGGCCGUAGCGCGGUGGACCCACCUGACCCCAUGCCGAACUCAGAAGUGAAACGCCGUAGCGCCGAUGGUAGUGUGGGGUCUCCCCAUGCGAGAGUAGGGAACUGCCAGGC